Molecule: ribosomal RNA, 261 nt
Filed under: uncultured archaeon
Lineage: Archaea
Description: partial 16S ribosomal RNA
Rfam family: Archaeal small subunit ribosomal RNA
Source: RNAcentral
UAGCCGUAAACGAUACUCGCUAGGUGUCGGCCACGGUGCGACCGUUGUCGGUGCCGUAGGGAAGCCGUGAAGCGAGCCACCUGGGAAGUACGGCCGCAAGGCUGAAACUUAAAGGAAUUGGCGGGGGAGCACAACAACGGGUGGAGCCUGCGGUUUAAUUGGACUCAACGCCGGACAACUCACCGGGAACGACAGCAAUAUGUAGGCCAGGCUGAAGACCUUGCCUGAAUCGCUGAGAGGAGGUGCAUGGCGUAGACGUCU